RNAcentral lists this ribosomal RNA (603 nucleotides) under uncultured fungus. RNAcentral describes it as "eukaryotic LSU rRNA". It matches the Rfam family "Eukaryotic large subunit ribosomal RNA", at positions 23 to 641 of the family's 3401-position model. The record is from RNAcentral. Lineage: Eukaryota; Fungi.
ACCCGCUGAACUUAAGCAUAUCAAUAAGCGGAGGAAAAGAAACCAACAGGGAUUGCCCUAGUAACGGCGAGUGAAGCGGCAACAGCUCAAAUUUGAAAUCUGGCGUCUUUGGCGUCCGAGUUGUAAUUUGCAGAGGGCGCUUUGGCAUUGGCAGCGGUCCAAGUUCCUUGGAACAGGACGUCACAGAGGGUGAGAAUCCCGUACGUGGUCGCUAGCCUUUACCGUGUAAAGCCCCUUCGACGAGUCGAGUUGUUUGGGAACGCAGCUCUAAAUGGGAGGUAAAUUUCUUCUAAAGCUAAAUACUGGCCAGAGACCGAUAGCGCACAAGUAGAGUGAUCGAAAGAUGAAAAGCACUUUGGAAAGAGAGUCAAACAGCACGUGAAAUUGUUGAAAGGGAAGCGCUUGCAGCCAGACUUGCUUACAGUUGCUCAUCCGGGCUUUUGCCCGGUGCACUCUUCUGUAGGCAGGCCAGCAUCAGUUUGGGCGGUAGGAUAAAGGUCUCUGUCACGUACCUCUCUUCGGGGAGGCCUUAUAGGGGAGACGACAUACUACCAGCCUGGACUGAGGUCCGCGCAUCUGCUAGGAUGCUGGCGUAAUGGCUGU